Molecule: ribosomal RNA, 428 nt
Filed under: uncultured prokaryote
Description: bacterial SSU rRNA
Rfam family: Bacterial small subunit ribosomal RNA
Source: RNAcentral
UGGGGAAUCAUGGUCAAUGGGCGAAAGCCUGAACCUGCGACGCCGCAUGAGUGAUGAAGGUCUUCGGAUUGUAAAGCCCUGUCGUCAGGGAAGAAGGUGCAGGACAGGAAAUGGUUUUGCGCUUGACGGUACCUGGAGAGGAAGCCCCGGCUAACUCUGUGCCAGCAGCCGCGGUAAUACAGAGGGGGCAAGCGUUAUUCGGAAUUAUUGGGUGUAAAGGGCGCGUAGGCGGUUUUUUAAGUGAGAUGUGCAAUCCCCGAGCUUAACUUGGGAACUGCAUCUCAUACUGGGAAGCUAGAGUGCUGGAGAGGGUGGUGGAAUUCCACGUGUAGCGGUGAAAUGCGUAGAGAUGUGGAGGAACACCAGUGGCGAAGGCGGCCACCUGGACAGCAACUGACGCUGAGGCGCGAAAGUGUGGGUAGCAAACA